RNAcentral lists this ribosomal RNA (699 nucleotides) under Rhodococcus sp. PML026. RNAcentral's name for it is "bacterial SSU rRNA". It matches the Rfam family "Bacterial small subunit ribosomal RNA", at positions 336 to 1048 of the family's 1533-position model. Lineage: Bacteria; Bacillati; Actinomycetota; Actinomycetes; Mycobacteriales; Nocardiaceae. The record is from RNAcentral.
CUCCUACGGGAGGCAGCAGUGGGGAAUAUUGCACAAUGGGCGGAAGCCUGAUGCAGCGACGCCGCGUGAGGGAUGAAGGCCUUCGGGUUGUAAACCUCUUUCAGCAGGGACGAAGCGUGAGUGACGGUACCUGCAGAAGAAGCACCGGCUAACUACGUGCCAGCAGCCGCGGUAAUACGUAGGGUGCGAGCGUUGUCCGGAAUUACUGGGCGUAAAGAGUUCGUAGGCGGUUUGUCGCGUCGUUUGUGAAAACCCGGGGCUCAACUUCGGGCUUGCAGGCGAUACGGGCAGACUUGAGUGUUUCAGGGGAGACUGGAAUUCCUGGUGUAGCGGUGAAAUGCGCAGAUAUCAGGAGGAACACCGGUGGCGAAGGCGGGUCUCUGGGAAACAACUGACGCUGAGGAACGAAAGCGUGGGUAGCAAACAGGAUUAGAUACCCUGGUAGUCCACGCCGUAAACGGUGGGCGCUAGGUGUGGGUUCCUUCCACGGGAUCUGUGCCGUAGCUAACGCAUUAAGCGCCCCGCCUGGGGAGUACGGCCGCAAGGCUAAAACUCAAAGGAAUUGACGGGGGCCCGCACAAGCGGCGGAGCAUGUGGAUUAAUUCGAUGCAACGCGAAGAACCUUACCUGGGUUUGACAUACACCGGAAAACCGUAGAGAUACGGUCCCCCUUGUGGUCGGUGUACAGGUGGUGCAUGG